AUGGUGUCGCCCGCCGGCCACGACGGCGUAGGCGUAGGCGCGGAGCUUGGCACCCGGCCGGCAGGCAGCGGGAGUGUCGUAUUCCUAUUCCUAUUCCUUCCUUCCAUCGAAACAUUCUGCUUUUCUGUUUUUGGAUCGAUAUAUCGAUCGAUCGAGAGCCGAGACCCGCGCGAUCAGUCGUUCCGGAAAUCUCCGCGCCUAGCCCAGACCCAAAUUCCAAUCUCCAAUUUGUGUACUAACCCGCUGGCCCUCGACGACGCCCACCUCCUCCCGUCCCCCGCCCCCGCCGCCGCAUUGGUGUCCCGCGUCCUCGCCUCCCACCCGGGCCCCUUCCGCGCCGUCCGCAUCGCCGAGAUCCCCAUCGACGAGUCCAACGAGGAGGCGCUCCUCCACCUCGCCGACAAGGGCGUGGAGGACCUCACCUCACCCUGGUCAACCGCCCCUACUCCUUCGACGUGCCCGUGCAGCUACCCGCAACCCUCCUCCGCUGCGGGGCCUCGCUCGGUCGCUCCGCCGCCUCUACCUCGGCGUCUGGCUCUUCCCCUUCACCACCGGCCUCCCGCGCGGCCCCGACGUCUUCCCCCACCUCCAGGAGCUCGGCCUCUGCCACGGCAACACGGAGGAGAGCGACCUCGACUAUGUGCUCGCCUGCAGCCCCAAGCUGGAGGCCCUGGCGCUCAUCUCCAACUACGCUACCCCGACCGCGUCCGCCUCGGCAGCCGCAGCCUCCGCUGCGUGCUGCUCUGGCAUUCCUUGGCCGACGAGGUCGCCGCCGUGUCCGCCCCAAACCUGCAGCGCCUCAUUAUCUACUGUACGCACCCAACCGAGGAUGACAGGGUCAUCAAGGUCAAGAUAGGCCAUGCUCCCCAGCUCGCCGUGCUCGGCUACUUGGACACGGCCACCCACGAGCUUGAGAUCGGCAACACCUUCAUCAAGGCUGGGGUGACAAAAGUUAGCCCAAAUACAGUGGUUCCAAGUGUGAAGGUGUUAGCUCUGAAGGUCCGUUUCAGAGUGCCCAAAGAAGUCAGAACUUUGCUCUGUUUCUUGAGAUGCUUCCCUGGAGUGGAGACCUUACACAUCAUGGCUUCCGACAACGACACCGACCACUACGAUGACCCGGGUGAAGUCAAGCCCAGCGACCAGCUCAAGUCCACAUUCUGGCAGGGGGUCAGUACGAUCAAAUGCGUGAAGUCGCGCGUCCAGAAGCUGGUGUUCGACUAG
This 1221-nucleotide ribosomal RNA is filed under the name Triticum aestivum (bread wheat). RNAcentral's name for it is "partial small subunit ribosomal RNA". Lineage: Eukaryota; Viridiplantae; Streptophyta; Magnoliopsida; Poales; Poaceae. The record is from RNAcentral.